UGGCGGCGUGGAUAAGACAUGCAAGUCGAACGGAAAUUUAUUUAUAGCAAUAUAAAUAAAAAUUAGUGGCGCAAGGGUGCGUAACACGUGGGCAACCUGCCCUAAAGCGCGGAAUAGCUCGGCGAAAGUCGAAUUAAUACCGCAUGUAGCCAUUGAGCUAAUGCUCAAAAAGCUAAAAACGGCGCAAGCUGUUGCUUUUGGAUGGGCCCGCGGCCUAUCAGCUAGUUGGUGAGGUAAUGGCUCACCAAGGCUAUGACGGGUAGCUGGUCUGAGAGGACGACCAGCCACACUGGAACUGAGACACGGUCCAGACACCUACGGGUGGCAGCAGUCGAGAAUUUUUCUCAAUGGGCGAAAGCCUGAAGGAGCGACGCCGCGUGAAGGAUGAAGGUCUUCGGAUUGUAAACUUCUGUCAUUAAGGAACAAACCUUCCGUAUAACUAGCGGAAGACUGAUAGUACUUGAAGAGGAAGGGACGGCUAACUCUGUGCCAGCAGCCGCGGUAAUACAGAGGUCUCAACCGUUGUUCGGAUUUAUUGGGCGUAAAGGGUGCGUAGGUGGUCGUGUAAGUCGGGUGUGAAAUCCUAGGGCUCAACCCUGGAACUGCACUCGAUACUGCAUGGCUUGAGCGCUGGAAAGGGGACUGGAAUUUACGGUGUAGCAGUGAAAUGCGUAGAUAUCGUAAGGAAGACCAGUGGCGAAAGCGAGUCUCUGGACAGAUGCUGACACUGAGGCACGAAGGCCAGGGGAGCAAACGGGAUUAGAUACCCCGGUAGUCCUGGCAGUAAACGGUGCACGUUUGGUGUAGGCGGAUUCGACCCCGUCUGCGCCGUANCUAACGCGUUAAACGUGCCGCCUGGGAAGUACGGUCGCAAGAUUAAAACUCAAAGAAAUUGACGGGGGCCCGCACAAGCGGNGG
RNAcentral lists this ribosomal RNA (918 nucleotides) under uncultured bacterium. Its description in RNAcentral is "bacterial SSU rRNA". It matches the Rfam family "Bacterial small subunit ribosomal RNA", at positions 37 to 935 of the family's 1533-position model. The record is from RNAcentral.